GGAUCAUUACUGAGUUGCAAAACUCCAAACCCAUGUGAACAUACCUCGUGUUGCCUCGGCGGCGAGCGAAGUGCUCGGGAGGUGCCUACCCGGUACCUACCCUGGAGCUACCCUGGAGCUACCUACCCGGUAGCUGCGAGGUACCUACCCUGUAGGACUGCCGCAUCCGCCGGAGGACCACCUAAACUCUUGUUUCUGUGUGGCACGUCUGAGUAAUUAUAUUUAAUAAGUCAAAACUUUCAACAACGGAUCUCUUGGUUCUGGCAUCGAUGAAGAACGCAGCGAAAUGCGAUAAGUAAUGUGAAUUGCAGAAUUCAGUGAAUCAUCGAAUCUUUGAACGCACAUUGCGCCCAUUAGUAUUCUAGUGGGCAUGCCUGUUCGAGCGUCAUUAAGUCCAUUAAGCCUAGCUGCUUAGCGUUGGGAGUAUUACCGUACGGUAACUCCUCAAAGUCAGUGGCAGGGUCGCAGUUGCACUCUUAGCGUAGUAGAUUUAUUACCGCUUAUUGUUGCGCUGUGGCCGUCGCCAUAAGCCUAUACUUCUUAGUUGGUUGACCUCGGAUCAGGUAGGAAUACCCGCUGAACUUAAGCAUAUCAAUAAGCGGAGGAAAAGAAACCAACAGGGAUUGCCUCAGUAACGGCGAGUGAAGCGGCAACAGCUCAAAUUUGAAAUCUGGCCCCAGGCCCGAAUUGUAAUUUGUAGAGGAUGCUUUUGGUGCGGUACCUUCCGAGUUCCCUGGAACGGGACGCCUUAGAGGGUGAGAGCCCCGUACGGUUGGAUGCCUAGCCUCUGUAAAGCUCCUUCGACGAGUCGAGUAGUUUGGGAAUGCUGCUCUAAAUGGGAGGUAAAUUUCUUCUAAAGCUAAAUACCGGCCAGAGACCGAUAGCGCACAAGUAGAGUGAUCGAAAGAUGAAAAGCACUUUGAAAAGAGGGUUAAAUAGUACGUGAAAUUGUUGAAAGGGAAGCGCUUAUGACCAGACUUUUGCCUUGCGGAUCAUCCGGUGUUCUCACCGGUGCACUUCGCUUGGUUCAGGCCAGCGUCGAUUUUGGUAGGGGGAUAAAGGCUGGGGAAACGUAGCUCUUCCGGGAGUGUUAUAGUCCCCUGCGUAAUACCCUUACCGGGAUCGAGGU
RNAcentral lists this ribosomal RNA (1129 nucleotides) under fungal endophyte. RNAcentral's name for it is "eukaryotic LSU rRNA". The stretch from base 550 to 1129 matches the Rfam family "Eukaryotic large subunit ribosomal RNA", at positions 1 to 592 of the family's 3401-position model. Lineage: Eukaryota; Fungi. The record is from RNAcentral.